This is a long non-coding RNA of Podarcis raffonei (Aeolian wall lizard), 1848 nucleotides long. RefSeq lists it as uncharacterized. The record is from RefSeq and is a predicted model, not a curated record. Lineage: Eukaryota; Metazoa; Chordata; Lepidosauria; Squamata; Lacertidae. The transcript is spliced from 2 exons.
UGGUGCUGUUGUUUUCCCUCUCUUCUCUCUCCAUCCAGCUUUCAGGAAAAUUUGAAAGCUUGCCCACUACUUUCGUAUUUUGGUUUGUCCUAACAGUCCUGAGACAAGUUGAAGGAAGGCUAAUGAUUUGAGGUGGGUGGUUAAUGAUUCCUUCCUCAGCUAACAGGCUAGAAAGUAGCUGAAGAUCUUCCUUGAGUGCUCUGAAUGGGAGGGACGAAUGGGACUAGGGAGGUAACCGUUUUUUCUCUCCCUUUCCCUGCUGGGAGUGGCUCUGAUGGGUAGGGCUGAGAGGAAGAGAGAGAAAAAGGAAGGAAAGAAACAUAAAUGCAAGUGACAAAAGGCAAAUUGCUGAAGCAUCUUGGGGUGCCUCACUCUGGAAGUCUGAAAUGGGACAGUGGAUUUGCUGCUUGUAUGAAUGCUCUGCUUCUUCAUUUAUACAUCAAAUAUUACAAAACGUAGUGAUCUCCAAGUAAAGCCAGCCCCUGGAUAGUGCUGCCCCUCAAGCUUUGCACUGCCUAGGGAAGUGUGGCGAAACAGUGAGACUAAAGCGUACAAUGACAAUAAUUUGCUGCUGAAGUGCUAUCUUGAAACUACUUCGUAAUGAACCAUAUAAACUCCCCUGCAGUGUCCUUUCUGUGCAGGGAAAACAACCAAAAAUGAGCUGGCAAUGGAAACAAUAUUGCAAGGUCAGCAGGUUUUACAAUAAAUGCUGCAACAUAACAUUCUUCCCACCUUUUCCCUGAUUUAGAAAUAAGACUCAAUUUUCUGUGCCAUAAGGGACUGGUUUUGGGGAACUAAGGAAGCUGCCUUGUUGAGAAUCGGGUGAUCUGUCAAUCUAGCAGAGUGUUCUCUACACUGACUGACAGUGACUCUCCAUUGUUUCAGACCAGAAUCUUUUUCCAGAUUUACUUGGAGAUACCAGUUCAUUUUCCAAAGCUGCAGUUGUAGAUCGACAGCACCACCUUCUGGCCAAAUUGUAUUCAUUGUUAGAUACAAGGUAGUCUGUAACCAAUUUCUUUGAACUAGCAAGUCUUUAAAACAAGGUUUUGGGGAAAAUAUAAAUUUAGUAAGAAAAUCACUUACACUGUACUAAUAGGCGACUAUUUUGGAGGGUGGAAGGGAAGGGUUUUCUGCAAAGCAUUACUCCUUUCCCCCAAUUCCCCCGCUGGUGGUUUUUAAAACUGGCUGCUUUGCCAUACAAGGAGUAAUGGAGUGUAAUGAUGUUAAUUUAUAUAAUUAUAUCUUUAAAAGUUUGCAGAAUGGUAAACAGCAUCCUUCAGUACUCAAAAGAAAUAUGUAUAAGACUACAUGGGUGUAGAAAUGAAUUGAUAUUAAAGAUUCUGACCAUAUCAGUGGGAUGAUGGGGCAGCAAGGGUGCCAUCACUUUCCUAUGAAUCUCAUGUACAGUAGAUAACUAUUGGGUUUAGGCCAAAGGCAGAGUUCCCUUUGAGGAAUGACUAGAAAAGACACCAUCUGCUCCAGGAUCCUAUUCCUCCUAGAACUUAGUGCACACUGUUUCCACUCCAGUCUGACCCAACAGAACUUCUAAGAACCUACAGCAAGUUUUCAAAAUACUUGGUACACACGCCUCUAUCUCGUUGUUCUUGCGUCUUGCCCCGAGCAAAUGGCACAAAAGCUAGCAGAGUUAUUAUGAUUCACAGCUACAAUCUAGAGAAAGUGGAGUGCACUUUUCAAUUUUUUAAAUAGUAUUUUAUUAAAUGUUUUAAAAUGUGUGUGUGUGUAUGUGCAUGAACACACACGCAUAUACAGACUUAGUUCAAUAUUUUCUACAAUAAAUUGACUCUAUUAAUCAGAUCUGUAGAUGUGGUUUAUUAAUUUAACUGAUUC